Molecule: unclassified non-coding RNA, 1015 nt
Filed under: Hevea brasiliensis (rubber tree)
Lineage: Eukaryota; Viridiplantae; Streptophyta; Magnoliopsida; Malpighiales; Euphorbiaceae
Source: RNAcentral
GUCUGCUGGGGAAAAUAUAAUCACCCUAGGGUUUCGACUAGGUGUGGUAUAUAAAUUUGUGCAAAAUGUGUUAGGUUUUCUGGAGAACCGGCAAUUCACUGACGCUGCAUCCAACGACCAACCAUGGGAGUCUUCACAUUCGUGUGCCGCCAUUCUGAUGGCCAGUGGAACGCUAAGCAGCUCUCCGAUGGUGACCUCGAGGCAUCCGCUUCCUCAACCUACGAGCUCCAGAGAAAGCUCGUCCAGACCGCUCUCUCCACCGACUCCUCCGGCGGUGUCCAGUCCUCUUUCUCUUUUGUCACCCCCACAUCCGCCGUAUUUCAGGUGAUCAUUGGUGGUGGUGGCGGUGGAGCUUUCUUUGGAGGAGGUGGUGCUGCUGCGGCAGCUCCAGCAGGAGGCGCAGCAGCUGCAGCUGAUGCACCCGCAGCUGAGGAAAAGAAGGAAGAGCCAGCGGAAGAGAGCGAUGAAGACAUGGGAUUUUCUCUCUUUGAUUAGAGAAUAUGAUAUGACAAGUAUCAAUCCUCCAUCUCAACCAAGGUGCAUGGACAGUACUCGGAGCGCAGUGUCAACAGCUUCAACCUUAACCCAAGAUGCUUAAACACAAAAGAGCUUGCAAAGGAUGAAGCCUUUGUGGAAACCUUGAGAGUUAGAUUUCAGUAUUUUGUAUUUCGUCCUGCAACAUAUAUUAGUUUUUUUUUAUUAGUUUUGAAUAGUGGUUGGAUGAACAAAUUGAAUUGGAUUAACUCGGAAAAAAGAAAUUAAAAAAAAAAUUUACAUAACUACAUAAAGCAGUUGCAUUGCUGGUGAGAAAUGAUAAUUUAAUUUAUGAUUCGUGUCGUAUUUCUAUUUGUUUGUCAUUCAUUGUCAAAUAUUGAUAUGAAAUUAUAAUGAUAUCAUCAUAUAACCUCUUGUGUAAUAUAAAAAAAGAAAAAAUUAAAGAAACUGAGAAAAAGAGGGCGCAAAUACUCACAAUUUCAAGCGUGGAAUAGUGCCAGUACGAAGAAAGGGAGAAAAC